RNAcentral lists this ribosomal RNA (497 nucleotides) under uncultured bacterium. RNAcentral's name for it is "partial 16S ribosomal RNA". It matches the Rfam family "Bacterial small subunit ribosomal RNA", at positions 28 to 507 of the family's 1533-position model. The record is from RNAcentral.
GAUGAACGCUGGCGGCGUGCCUAAUACAUGCAAGUCGGGCGAACGGACGAGAAGCUUGCUUCUCUGAUGUUAGCGGCGGACGGGUGAGUAACACGUGGAUAACCUACCUAUAAGACUGGGAUAACUUCGGGAAACCGUAGCUAAUACCGGAUAAUAUUUUGAACCGCAUGGUUCAAAAGUGAAAGACGGUCUUGCUGUCACUUAUAGAUGGAUCCGCGCUGCAUUAGCUAGUUGGUAAGGUAACGGCUUACCAAGGCAACGAUGCAUAGCCGACCUGAGAGGGUGAUCGGCCACACUGGAACUGAGACACGGUCCAGACUCCUACGGGAGGCAGCAGUAGGGAAUCUUCCGCAAUGGGCGAAAGCCUGACGGAGCAACGCCGCGUGAGUGAUGAAGGUCUUCGGAUCGUAAAACUCUGUUAUUAGGGAAGAACAUAUGUGUAAGUAACUGUGCACAUCUUGACGGUACCUAAUCAGAAAGCCACGGCUAACUACGUG